GAUGGUGGUGCAUGUCUGUUCUUAGUUGGUGUAACGAUUUGUAUGAUUAAUUUUGAUAAUGAACGAGACUCUAGCCUAUUAAAUAGGUGCGUGGUUCUCUGCACCUUCUACCUUUAUUAGCGGCUCCUAGCCUCACGAAACAGAGCAAUAACAGGUCUAUGAUGCCCU
RNAcentral lists this ribosomal RNA (168 nucleotides) under Ixodes scapularis (black-legged tick). RNAcentral describes it as "Eukaryotic small subunit ribosomal RNA". It matches the Rfam family "Eukaryotic small subunit ribosomal RNA", at positions 1273 to 1473 of the family's 1831-position model. Lineage: Eukaryota; Metazoa; Arthropoda; Arachnida; Ixodida; Ixodidae. The record is from Rfam by way of RNAcentral.